This 663-nucleotide long non-coding RNA is filed under the name Pan troglodytes (chimpanzee). RNAcentral describes it as "lincRNA". The record is from RNAcentral. Lineage: Eukaryota; Metazoa; Chordata; Mammalia; Primates; Hominidae.
CGUGGCGCCUCAGCCACAAUCGUAAUCACCUUUAAUCUCUUGCUCAAAAUAACCCAAAGUCAAGCCAGAGGGAGCCUCGCUAACCACCAAGGCGGUCCUGCGGCCCCGCGCAGCCCUGAGGGUGUCCAGUCCUCCACGCGUGGAGGAGAAUCCGGCCUCCAAACACAAUCUCCAGGGCCCACCGGAUCGGCCUCCCCUCCUUCUCACUCCCAGUCCCCUGGUGCACGCCCCCUUCCUGGCUGAAGAACCUGCACCAGCCGCCCCUCCGCCUGGGAAGCUCCAGCUCCCUCCCGUCAUUCACUCCGAGACGCAGCAGCGUUGCCCCAAGAGCCCUCCCUGCUCUGCACCCCGAAUUCACUCUCUGCACCCCGAAUUCACUCUCAGCCCCCACCUAGUUUAAAUCCUGGCCCUUCUCUCUCCCUGAUGUUCUGCUUGGUUAUUUACUUUUAAUUCAUGUUGGAGCUCCUCCUGCCACUGCAAGAGCAGGAGCUGUGUGUCCUGGUCACUGCUGUGGCAUCCCAGGGCCGGCGCGGUGCCCAGCAGCCAGGACUGGACAGACUCGGGCCACGCUGCGCACGGGCUGGGAUGCGCCGGCUCUGCUUCCUCUUCCGUUGAAUGGGAGUAAAGACCACUCCUCCCAGGGAGCUUGUGGUUUCUCACAAA